Molecule: non-coding RNA, 541 nt
Organism: Arachis ipaensis
Lineage: Eukaryota; Viridiplantae; Streptophyta; Magnoliopsida; Fabales; Fabaceae
Source: RefSeq, a predicted model, not a curated record
AUUUGACAAGUAUGGAGCUUUCAGGAUCUUUGUCUCCUUUUGUUGCCAAUAUGACAGCUCUGACUAAUAUGCACUUGGAAAACAAUCAAUUCGACGAAGAGAUUCCUUCAUCCCUAGGGAACAUAAGCACUUUGCAUGAAGUGUAAGCUCUGUCCUCUUUAUACAAGAGAAUACAAUUAAACUGAUUUUUCAUGUUGUUUCUUGAAUCUUGAGUAGAUAUUUAAGUCAACCCUGUAGAACUAUGUUGUUUACAUGAGUGUGGCCCAAAAAUAGUACAAUUUAUUUGAAUUUCUUUUGUCGAUAAAUUUCAUUGGAUCAAGACUUUGUAAGCUAUUGUGUAUUUGUGUUUGUCAAUUUCAAUUUUAUGACUUUUUGAAAUAGUAUGCCAGUAUUUUUUUUGAAUUGAUUGAAAAACCGAACAAAUCGAACCAAACCAAACCGAUUUUAAUUGGUUUGGUUUGGUUCGGAUGGACUUGAUAAAAAAACUGAACCAAAUCGAACCGCAGUUUAAUUAAACGAUUGAAUCGGAUGACUUUUCUCU